Rhododendron vialii is the source of this 3574-nucleotide RNA transcript. RefSeq lists it as uncharacterized. The record is from RefSeq and is a predicted model, not a curated record. The transcript is spliced from 7 exons. Lineage: Eukaryota; Viridiplantae; Streptophyta; Magnoliopsida; Ericales; Ericaceae.
AAGAAGAAGAGAAACCCAUCUCUCGCUCUCUCAAAUCUGACCCUUUGUGCGUUAUGGAGCAACUCUCCUUCAGAUGACUAGUUUCAACCCUUUGGUGUGUUCCAACGAAAGGGUAAAUGGAACCUUUGCUUCUUUCCUCAACUUCAACCUUUACCCCCGCAUUAACCACUCCCCAGUAUUUCUUCUCCCUCUUUAACCAAAAGGAAGAGGUGAGAGGUGGUGGGGUCCACUCACUCAGUUCUUUUUGGCAGUAAUCUUUAUUCGAAGCAGAAGGAAGAAGAAGAAGAAGAAGUGGUAAAUCCUCAUAUUUUGUUGAUUUGGAAGAACGGUUGCUUGUUUGGACUCCUUUUGCUUGUGGCUUUGGAUGAUUGAAUUGGGUUUUGAUUGUUAACACUAAUCCGGGCUAGGGCCCCCCAAAGAACUCCUGAGCCAUGGCAGGCAUUGAUGUGUCGAAGUAUGCCCACAGUCAUGUGCACAGAGCUGUAGCCAUGAAGGACUAUGCAACUCUCGGAAAGAUACUUUCGGGCCUCCCACGGUUUUGUGACCCAUCUGAAAUUCGCACUGAAUCAGAUUCACUAUCCGAAGAACAAAAGGCUGAUGCCGUUUCUGCUGUGAUUGACUGUCGCAAUGUCCCUAACCGUGACACCCCUCUUCACUUAGCUGUCAAGCUCAGUGACGAGACUGCAACUGAAAUGCUUAUGAUUGCCGGUGCAGACUGGAGCUUGCAAAAUGAGCAGGGGUGGAGUCCACUCCAGGAAGCAAUAUGUAACAGGGAAGAAGUGAUAGCACGAAUCAUAGUCAAGCACUACCAGCCGCUGGCUUGGGCUAAAUGGUGUAGAAGGUUGCCGCGGUUGAUACAAACCAUGAGGAGGAUGCGAGAUUUCUACAUGGAAAUAACUUUCCACUUUGAGAGCUCAGUUAUCCCUUUCAUCUCACGGAUUGCACCGUCUGACACGUACAGAAUAUGGAAAAGAGGUGCCAACUUGAGGGCAGAUAUGACUUUGUCUGGUUUCGAUGGGUUGAGAAUCCAGCGAUCGGAUCAGAGUGUUCUUUUUCUUGGCGAUGGGUCCGAGGAUGGAAAAGUUCCUCGUGGGUCACUUUGCAUGAUCACGCACAAAGAUAAGGAAGUGAUGAAUGCUUUAGAUGGUGCCGGUGCCACAGCAAGUGAGGCAGAGGUGCAGCAAGAAGUGAAAGCUAUGUCCCAAACUAAUAUAAUAAGGCCUGGGAUCGAUGUGACUGAAGCAGUUCUUUUGCCACAGGUGACAUGGAGACGACAAGAGAAAACAGAAAUGGUGGGUAUUUGGAAGGCUAAAGUGUAUGAUAUGCACAAUGUGGUUGUCAGCAUAAAGUCCAGGAGGGUUCCAGGUGCUAUGACGGACGAAGAGUUGUUUUCAGCUUGUAAUGACAAUGAAACUGAAAGUGAAGGCCUUGAUGAUCUUCUGACGGAUGAGGAAAGAAGGCAACUUGAAGUUGCACUCAAGUUGGAUUCUUCGGAUUUAAGCAAUGAGAAUGAUUUAAGCAAUGAGAAUGGUGAGAUUAGGCAUGGAAAGAAGGGAUGGUUUGGCGGGUGGAGAAAACAGGAUAAUACUGAGGAUAAAGGGAAGAAGAGGACUGUCGCACCAAGAGGUUCACUCUCUGUAGAAGAGAAGGUUAGUAGUGAUCUGCUUGGUGAUUCUCCAUCACAAGGUCAGAACAAUCCGGGACGACACUCAGUGGAGAUUGAUGUGAGGGGCGAUGAGAACCCUAGAGGAAAGCACACCAAAAUAUCAUCAUCCGUGAAUUCUGAGAGUGGAACUCGCCGGAAGGAUGGAAGCCGUGAAAAUGAAUACAAGAAAGGGUUAAGGCCUGUCCUCUGGCUUUCUCCGGAUUUUCCAUUGCGCUCUGAAGAACUCCUUCCGCUGCUAGACAUUCUGGCUAACAAAGUUAAAGCCAUUCGUCGCUUGCGAGAACUGCUUACUACAAAACUUCCUUUGGGCACCUUUCCGGUCAAGGUUGCUAUCCCCGUGGUUCCCACCAUCAGAGUGUUGGUUACAUUUACAAAAUUUGAAGAGUUACAACCAGUGGAUGAAUUCUCAACCCCCCCUUCGAGUCCAACGGGCCGAGAAAGCCCAGCAAUCAUGCAGUCAUCGAGUUCCUCAUGGUUUCAGUGGAUAAAAGCUCCUUACCAAAGACCAAGUUCUUCCACUGGUGGUUCGAGCAAUAGGAUAGAAAAUAUUCAAGAUCCGUUUGCAAUUCCUCCAGAUUACACAUGGGUUACAGCUGAAGCAAAGAAAAAGAAGAUGCAGGAGAAAAGGAAAUCAAAGGGAAAGAAGUCAGAAUCAGUAGUUUGAGAUGAGAUUGAUAUCCAUUACUUGGUAGCAGAUGAAUACUAAGUGAGGACACUGGCUUCGUCAAUAUCAUAGUUCGCAUGUGAAAGAACAGAGAAAUAGGGGCCACACUUGUACGUAGAAGAUGAUCCGUUCGUAGAGUUACAAUCUGUGUUUCAGCUGAUGCCCAUUCUUUGUCAUAUGUGCCUUCAAAGACCCAUUCUCUUGCUCAUGUUGAAACUUUGAAGAGCAAAAGAGCGUGUUUGCUGUAAAUAUGGCGUCCGGAAAACUACUUGGACAUGCUUUUUGGUUCGUAUUGUGGUGCCUCCUCUCUAGUCGUGGAGUACAGAAUUUGAGCUCUAUUGAUAUUUGCUGAAGAGAAUAGCAUCUGAAUAUAUAGAAUACUGCUGAACAGAACUUUGAAGUAUACCAUCUGCAAAGUAAGAAUGAAUCCACUUCAUGAGCGCAGAGGAUACUGAAGCAAAAAUGGUGACAAGAACGAUGAAAUAAUUCCAUCCAUAGCUGCAAUGAAUGCAUUUAAACUCCAUGCGAAAAUCGCUUCUUGUUGUUACUGCUGUUGUUGCUGCUACUUCUGUGGUGAACUUGAUCAUCGUUACAGUCAGAACACCGAGAUGGUACAUAGCAAGAGCACACUAAGGAGGUGCACCUGUUCUGCGCCGACGCCGCCAGGAGUGCAGACAACAAGCUUAAACAACCCGUCUUGAGGGAGAGCAUGCAGAUCUCCCCAGUCGCCGCACUUGCCUGGCUCCCAAGUCGGUAGGGACUUCUCUGUUCACGCUUAGAGAUGUAAAACGCUGGUUGCUCCUUCCUAUCCUACCUUUUCCUGCUCUCUUGCCGUCCCUCUUCUUGAUACCAGGACCAGCUCCAAGGAUACUGUGUUUAUUGGGAUGCCUGUCUUUCAAACUAUCUGGACAGGAGAGUUUUGUUUUUGAUGGAAUGUGGGCGAUUUCUACGGAUGAUUACAGUUUUGCUUUGAAAAUAAGAUAAUGGUCUGUGGUGGGUUUUUUUUUUGAGGCUGGGAAAAGAAGUUUAAUGGAUACAGAAACAGGUUUGCUCAUGCUCGUGCCUCUCCCCACUAAGAGUUGUUUUCUUUUGCUUUUGCCUUGGGUACUCAUUGGUGUGACGUAUUUAGUGCUCUUUUUAACUUUUUGGAAUGUUUGUGAAAUUACUUACACUGUUUGUCAGCUCUUGCAUCAUUGAGAUGAUCACAUGUUCUUUUCUUUCUCAAUGUUAUUUUGCUUUUCUCA